RNAcentral lists this ribosomal RNA (492 nucleotides) under uncultured bacterium. RNAcentral's name for it is "partial 16S ribosomal RNA". It matches the Rfam family "Bacterial small subunit ribosomal RNA", at positions 29 to 507 of the family's 1533-position model. The record is from RNAcentral.
AGUGAACGCUGGCGGUAGGCCUAACACGUGCAAGUCGAACGGCAGCACAGUAAGAGCUUGCUCUUACGGGUGGCGAGUGGCGGACGGGUGAGGAAUACAUCGGAAUCUACUUUUUCGUGGGGGAUAACGUAGGGAAACUUACGCUAAUACCGCAUAUGACCUACGGGUGAAAGCAGGGGAUCUUCGGACCUUGCGCGAUUGAAUGAGCCGAUGUCGGAUUAGCUAGUUGGCGGGGUAAAGGCCCGCCAAGGCGACGAUCCGUAGCUGGUCUGAGAGGAUGAUCAGCCACACUGGAACUGAGACACGGUCCAGACUCCUACGGGAGGCAGCAGUGGGGAAUAUUGGACAAUGGGCGCAAGCCUGAUCCAGCCAUACCGCGUGGGUGAAGAAGGCCUUCGGGUUGUAAAGCCCUUUUGUUGGGAAAGAAAAGCAGCAGGUUAAUACCCCGCUGUUCUGACGGUACCCAAAGAAUAAGCACCGGCUAACUUCGUG